RNAcentral lists this ribosomal RNA (538 nucleotides) under Gymnochilus reitteri. Its description in RNAcentral is "LSU rRNA". It matches the Rfam family "Eukaryotic large subunit ribosomal RNA", at positions 360 to 656 of the family's 3401-position model. The record is from RNAcentral. Lineage: Eukaryota; Metazoa; Arthropoda; Insecta; Coleoptera; Curculionidae.
AAAGUUGAAAAGCACUUUGAAGAGAGAGUUCAAGAGUACGUGAAACCGUUUAGGGGUAAACCUGAGAAACCCGAAAGGUCGAAGGGAGAAAUUCAUUCGCGUUUCGUUGUUGACACCGAGCAGAUUGUGUGACGAUUUGAUUUGAUUUGUGUGUUCGCAUGCUUUUCUUUCAUUUCGCGCCGUUUGUUUGGUGAUUCGAUGGCGAACGCGUGCACUUUUCUCCUGGUAGGACGUCGCGAUCCGUUGGGUGUCGGUCUACGACUUGCGGUGGAGCCCGUUUGUCGCACUUUACGGUGUACUUGUAUAAACGGACCCGCUUGUUCUGGCCGACUCGCUCGACGGUAUACGAACGGUCAGGGGCCGCUCUUUGGAGCGUUCGACUCGUGGCAAGCGCGUCAGAUGCAUUUUGGUAAUUCGGACCUAGUGCCGAUUCCGAACUCUGAUGACUGUUGGCUGCGAAGUUCUCGAACAGACCCCUCAUUUGUGUUAAGACCGAUCUGCGGCGCUAUAGCUUUGGGUACUUUCAGGACCCGUCUUG